Molecule: ribosomal RNA, 459 nt
Filed under: Anaplasma phagocytophilum
Lineage: Bacteria; Pseudomonadati; Pseudomonadota; Alphaproteobacteria; Rickettsiales; Anaplasmataceae
Description: bacterial SSU rRNA
Rfam family: Bacterial small subunit ribosomal RNA
Source: RNAcentral
CAACGCGAAAAACCUUACCACUCCUUAACAUGGAGAUUAGAUCCUUCUUAACAGAAGGGCGCAGUUCGGCUGGAUCUCGCACAGGUGCUGCAUGGCUGUCGUCAGCUCGUGUCGUGAGAUGUUGGGUUAAGUCCCGCAACGAGCGUAACCCUCAUCCUUAGUUGCCAGCGGGUAAGCCGGGCACUUUAAGGAAACUGCCGGUGGUAAACCGGAGGAAGGUGGGGAUGAUGUCAAGUCAGCACGGCCCUUAUGGGGUGGGCUACACACGUGCUACAAUGGUGACUACAAUAGGUUGCAAUGUCGCAAGGCUGAGCUAAUCCGUAAAAGUCAUCUCAGUUCGGAUUGUCCUCUGCAACUCGAGGGCAUGAAGUCGGAAUCGCUAGUAAUCGUGGAUCAGCAUGCCACGGUGAAUACGUUCUCGGGUCUUGUACACACUGCCCGUCACGCCAUGGGAAAUGG